UUUAUCAAAAACAUGGCUAUUAGAAGGUGUUUAUAGUNUAGCCUGCUCACUGACANGAUGUUGUUUAAGAGCCGCGGUAUUCUGACCGUGCNAAGGUAGCAUAAUCAUUAGUUUUUUAAUNGGGAACUCGUAUGAAUGGUUGGACAAAAGAAAAACUGUCUCUAUUUUAGAAAUUGAAAUUAACUUUUAAGUGAAAAGGCUUAAAUAAUUCAAUGGGACGAUAAGACCCUAUAAAGCUUUAUAUUAUAUUUAAAUUUGAUUGAAUUAUCAUAAGUAUAAAUAUUUAAUUUAAAUUAUGUAUUUUGUUGGGGCGACAUAUAUAUAAAUAAAUUUAACUGUAUAGGUAGAUAAUCAUUAAUAGAUGAAUGAAAAUAAUUGAUCCCUUUUAAGGAUUAAAAGAUUAAGUUACUUUAGGGAUAACAGCGUUAUUUCUUUUGAGAGUUCUUAUCGAAAAAGAAGUUUGCGACCUCGAUGUUGAAUUAAAAUGUCUUUAUGGUGUAGNUGCUAUAAGAAGAAGGUCUGUUCGACCUUUAAAAU
Molecule: ribosomal RNA, 537 nt
Filed under: Carpilius convexus
Lineage: Eukaryota; Metazoa; Arthropoda; Malacostraca; Decapoda; Carpiliidae
Description: partial 16S ribosomal RNA
Rfam family: Bacterial large subunit ribosomal RNA
Source: RNAcentral